Non-coding RNA from Paramormyrops kingsleyae, 923 nucleotides. Lineage: Eukaryota; Metazoa; Chordata; Actinopteri; Osteoglossiformes; Mormyridae. The record is from RefSeq and is a predicted model, not a curated record.
AUCUCGUCAUCGGAUGAUUACCGCUGCUCCGGCGCGAAGCGGACAGGCCUCCCAGUGGCUGCAGCGGCGUGACCUUCGGAAGAGCGAGGGUGGAGAAGUCCUGAGGCCCAAAUGGGGCUGUCCUUCCAGUCCGUAGCCUCCCAUCGCUGCUCCUUCUGGACUAUAGGGGGCGCCUUGACCUUUGCCAGACAAAGAAAAGGAUGGUAAGACCGGUGUCCUGGGAGAGCUGCUUUUUCUGCUCUUCGGAGGGGUACGGAUGCUGGGAGAGGACAAAAAGAACCAUGUCAGUAUGUCGUACAGUAUAUUCUAUACUCACUGGUCACACUCACGGGUUUAGAGUGUGAGGGGAAAAUGCUGACAACGGGUGACUUCUGAUGUCGGUACUGCUCGUCGUCUUUCACCGUCGAGCACACAACACGACCCGGCACCCAUCAACACGCUAAUGAUGCAAUUAAAAUAUACCUCCAUCCUCAGCAAAGCACCAUGGGAAAUUACAAUAGGAAAGUGCGUGCGGGAUGCAGGCUGAGAGAAGCCGGGGGAAAACUGCUUAAUCCGCAUGCAUCAGUAGCUGCGCGUGCGUCUGCGCAGUUCUCUCUGGUGGCACAGUGCUAAGGAACACAUGGAGGAGAUGAAACGCAGUGGUGAAAAUUCUCUAAUACACUUUACUGCUGGGCCUUAAGACAAUGUAUGCAGGGGCAAGAAAAAACCUCUCCCUAUAUUUCUCUCUUCUUCUUCUCCCCCACACCUUUUUCCCUCCUCCCUCUUUUCUCUUCUCUUCUCUCUCUCUCUCUCUCUCUCCCACUCUGGGGCGAUGAGGCAGUACCUUCGGUAAUUAGGAUCCUUUCAGGAAGUCAUUAAAACCGUUCCAAUUAUCUGCUAAUUAACACAUACUUGUUACAAUUCCAGUCAUGACUUAAGUGUUC